CACAAGCGGUGGAGCAUGUGGUUUAAUUCGAUGCAACGCGAAGAACCUUACCUACUCUUGACAUCCAGAGAACUUAGCAGAGAUGCUUUGGUGCCUUCGGGAACUCUGAGACAGGUGCUGCAUGGCUGUCGUCAGCUCGUGUUGUGAAAUGUUGGGUUAAGUCCCGCAACGAUCGCAACCCUUAUCCUUUGUUGCCAGCGAUUCGGUCGGGAACUCAAAGGAGACUGCCAGUGAUAAACUGGAGGAAGGUGGGGAUGACGUCAAGUCAUCAUGGCCCUUACGAGUAGGGCUACACACGUGCUACAAUGGCAUAUACAAAGAGAAGCGACCUCGCGAGAGCAAGCGGACCUCAUAAAGUAUGUCGUAGUUCGGAUUGGAGUCUGCAACUCGACUCCAUGAAGUCGGAAUCGCUAGUAAUCGUAGAUCAGAAUGCUACGGUGAAUACGUUCCCGGGCCUUGUACACACCGCCCGUCACACCAUGGGAGUGGGUUGCAAAAGAAGUAGGUAGCUUAACCUUCGGGAGGGCGCUUACCACUUUGUGAUUCAUGACUGGGGUGAAGUCGUAACAAGGUAACCAAGCC
RNAcentral lists this ribosomal RNA (582 nucleotides) under uncultured bacterium. RNAcentral's name for it is "bacterial SSU rRNA". It matches the Rfam family "Bacterial small subunit ribosomal RNA", at positions 924 to 1506 of the family's 1533-position model. The record is from RNAcentral.